Molecule: non-coding RNA, 73 nt
Organism: Bos taurus (domestic cattle)
Lineage: Eukaryota; Metazoa; Chordata; Mammalia; Artiodactyla; Bovidae
Source: Rfam
GCCCUGGGGGUCCAGUGGUUAGGACCCUACACUUCCACUGUAGGGGGCCAUGGUUCGAUUCCUGGUCGGGGAA